CAGCUGAGGACUCUGGUUUGGGAACGAUGGUUAAGUUUGUGGCUGAUCCUGUGGUUUGGUGGGAGUUGAGCCGCAGUUGGGUCACACACACACAGGCAGACAUGCACUCUUCGGAAGUCAGCCACUGUCUACAUUGGUUGAGUGAGUCAGCCCAGACUCUGGCAGUAGCAAGAUGAUCUUCCUCCAACGUCGCCCGGCGCUGGCUGGUUUUCUGCUGGGGCGCACAAAUACCCACGAGCGAGCACCGUGUAACCGCAGCAGGUGGAGCGGGCCUGGGAGGAGGCGCCGUAGACCAGUAGACUCGAGUUACACACGCUCACUCCCACGCACCCUGCCACGCACACGCAACUUCACCGCUCGCCUGGAAGCCCGGAACACUUUCUCCCGCAGUUGUCAAAAGAAACAAUCGGAGAAAAGUUUACAGCCAGGAGAAAAGUUGAAACAUCCAAAGCCUAGACGCCGGUUCAUUCAAAAGUAAGAAAGGAAAAACAAAA
Molecule: long non-coding RNA, 494 nt
Filed under: Rattus norvegicus (Norway rat)
Lineage: Eukaryota; Metazoa; Chordata; Mammalia; Rodentia; Muridae
Description: long non-coding RNA NONRATT006472
Source: RNAcentral